GCAUUGUACCUGUUGAACAAAAUGGAAAAUUGGGUCAGAGAAUAUUUUGUAUCACGACUUUUGUGGAUUUAUGAAUGGCGAGCACUGUACUAGAUAAUUGAAUGAGACAUGUCUACCAAUGAAAUGCAGUGGCAAACUUCUGGGUUUUGUCCAGAAAGGCCGGGGAGAGACAAGGUUUACAUUAUCGGUCUUCUCUCAGGAUUGAGAGACUGCAGGGGUACAGGGGUACCACAUAUGGUGGUUUCAUUUUCAUUAUUGGAACUGGUAUUUGAGAAUCAUGUAAAAAGAGGAGGGGAAGGCGUCCAUGACUCUAGUGUUUAUUCAUAAAUGGGAGUUGGUAGCUCUCUUAGCUGCUAAGCUCCUAGACGUCAUAUGAUGGGAUAAAGUCUAAUAUCUUUUCAUGACCAUGAGGACCAGGAGGUUGAAUAUAACCCGAAGGCUUGUUAUAUCUUGUCAAGAUCUGAUCGCACUGGCCUGCUAGGAAAGAAAUAGCAGAAUAUCUAAUUCUUAUAAUGCUCUGCAUUGGUAUUUUGGAUGCAUGGCAUGGCCAAAAAGAGUGGUGCUGCCAUGGCAUCCCAUUUUACACAGCUGGGAAGAGAUUCUCUGACUCCGAGAGAUCAAGAUCCUCAGAAAAAGAGAAAAGGCAACUCACAUUUUUACGCGUGCAGAAACAUCGAAAGGGAACAAAUAGAUCCUUUGAAUGACUGCCUGCAAAGGCAGGCUUGCAUGCAGUUAUGAAGAUGACUGCAUCUACAAUAUGAGUAGAAGCAAAGAGCUUAUUUAUUUAUUUAUCUCUUCAUUUUGAAGAAGGUGAAUCACAAAAUUUUUUGCUAUUGUAUCAUCAAAUUUUUUUUGCCCUUAUUCUGACUGGAAUAAAUCCAGCUUUGUUCCAAAAAAACUUGACACUAGAUGAAACUAUUAGGCUCUGUUUGGUUGUUGAGAAAAAUGAAAGACAAUGAAAAUUAUUUGUAUGCUGAUAAAAAGUUAAUUUUCAUGAAGACAAGAAUAUAAAGAUUUUUCUCUUA
Molecule: non-coding RNA, 1025 nt
Organism: Phoenix dactylifera (date palm)
Lineage: Eukaryota; Viridiplantae; Streptophyta; Magnoliopsida; Arecales; Arecaceae
Source: RefSeq, a predicted model, not a curated record